Brassica oleracea var. oleracea is the source of this 373-nucleotide long non-coding RNA. RefSeq lists it as uncharacterized. The record is from RefSeq and is a predicted model, not a curated record. The transcript has 3 exons. Lineage: Eukaryota; Viridiplantae; Streptophyta; Magnoliopsida; Brassicales; Brassicaceae.
CCUCCUGUCGUCAGCCACCAGCACCGGUACUCAUCAGACCGAUCUAGGAUUUCGUAUCGCACGGCAGCGUUAUGAGAGAGGAAGCCAUCUGAUGAAUUCUUGAGGGCAGUUGACCAAGACAUUGCAGAUUUCACCAUCAAUAUUAUUGCAAAGCCUUUGACGAUGGCAUUACUUGGAGAAGGGUUGAAUGUUCCAAGAUGCGACUCCGUAAGCAGUAGAUUUUCUUGAAGCUGCUCAAAGCAAAAGAUCUUACGAAAAGAGUAAAAUAAAAAGAAAGCCUUUUUAGGAUAAUCCAACCAAAAUAUUCAUUUAUUUUUGGUUUCAUUUCAAAGUUACUGAAGUCUGACCCAACUUUUUUUCGUAAUUAUAAUGA